Molecule: ribosomal RNA, 465 nt
Filed under: uncultured bacterium
Lineage: Bacteria
Description: partial 16S ribosomal RNA
Rfam family: Bacterial small subunit ribosomal RNA
Source: RNAcentral
CCUACGGGAGGCAGCAGUGGGGAAUAUUGCGCAAUGGGCGAAAGCCUGACGCAGCGACGCCGCGUGAGGGAUGAAGGUCUUCGGAUCGUAAACCUCUGUCAGCAGGGAAGAACGGUCACUUUGCUAAUCAGCAGUGAAUUGACGGUACCUGCACAGGAAGCACCGGCUAACUCCGUGCCAGCAGCCGCGGUAAUACGGAGGGUGCGAGCGUUAAUCGGAAUUACUGGGCGUAAAGGGCGCGUAGGCGGUAGGUCAAGUCAAGGGUGAAAUCCCCGCGCUCAACGUGGGAACUGCCUUUGAAACUGGACAACUGGAGUGUGUGAGAGGAUAGUGGAAUUCCAGGUGUAGGAGUGAAAUGCGUAGAUAUCAGGAGGAACAUCAGUGGCGAAGGCGACUAUCUGGCACAUAACUGACGCUGAGGAGCGAAAGCGUGGGUAGCAAACAGGAUUAGAUACCCGAGUAGUC